GUACACGCUGUGACUAGCAUAUCAAUAAGCGGAGGAAAAGAGGGCUAUUACCUACGCUUAGGAUGUUGACGAGACUGUCGAUCUCAUCUAUACAUGACUCUGUGCAUAUCAAUAAGCGGAGGAAAAGUACCUACGCUUAGGAUGUUGACGAGACUGUCGAUCUCAUCUAUACAUGACUCUGUGCAUAUCAAUAAGCGGAGGAAAAGAAACUAACAAGGAUUCCCCUAGUAACGGCGAGUGAAGCGGGAAGAGCUCAAAUUUGAAAUCUUAAAGGGUUUCCCUUUACGAAUUGUAGUUUAAAGAAGUGUUUUCUGUUGAGGUUUUGGUAAAAGUUCUUUGGAAUAGGACAUCAUAGAGGGUGAGAAUCCCGUAUUUGACCUUUACUUUCAACUUUGUGAUACACUUUCAAAGAGUCGGAUUGUUUGGGAAUGCAGUCCAAAAUGGGUGGUAAAUUUCAUCUAAAGCUAAAUAUUGGCGAGAGACCGAUAGCGAACAAGUACCGUGAGGGAAAGAUGAAAAGAACUUUGAAAAGAGAGUUAAACAGUACGUGAAAUUGUCAAAAGGGAAGCGUUUGACACCAGUGUUGUUUUUCUGAAAAUCAAUUAAAGAACUGUUUAUGCUAAGCUGUUUAGACUUUAUCAGCUAACUGUUUAGUUUUGAGCUUUUCUUUAAUGCACUUUUCAGUUAACAAGUCAACAUCAAUUUCUUUUGCUGUAAAAAAGCUUGAGGAAGGUGGCUUGAGAUUCGUCUUAAGUGUUUAUAGCCUCUUGCCUAUGCAGUCGGAGAGAUUGAGGUCUGCAGCGUAGAUCCUUCGGGGCUAAAUGCAUUUGUGCUAAGUUAUAGCAUUUUCAUAGACAACUUGUUGACUAUGAUUUGUCUUGUAGCUUACUCGCUUAUGUUAUUUUACCUACGCUUAGGAUGUUGACGAGACUGUCGAUCUC
This 941-nucleotide ribosomal RNA is filed under the name uncultured Neocallimastigales. Its description in RNAcentral is "partial large subunit ribosomal RNA". The stretch from base 158 to 941 matches the Rfam family "Eukaryotic large subunit ribosomal RNA", at positions 1 to 647 of the family's 3401-position model. The record is from RNAcentral. Lineage: Eukaryota; Fungi; Neocallimastigomycota; Neocallimastigomycetes; Neocallimastigales.